CAACGACACCGACUUGUUUGAGGUGCCCUUCAUGCCCGUCGCCGCCCGUGGUGGUUGAGACCAGUCCGUGGAACGGUGUGAUGCACUUGGCCCUAACUUCCCUCCGACGCCCUCAUUUGCCUACCGUAAAGUGGGGCUAUGUAACCACGAUGAUAACACUCUUGAUCCAUAAGGAAAAUGGGACUCAAAGAAAAAGGAAAGGGAGGUUGGCCUUGUCCCCAGAAUUAGAACCCUCAGCCACUGGCCUGUCCAUAGGAGAGACCAUGUGCACAGGCCUGUGCUCAGCCAGAAGUUGGGAUUCUGGAGAAGACCAUGUCUCAUUGAGCUCACCAUCUCCUGAGGAAAUAACCAACAAUGUUAAGGACAAGUGUAACAUGCCAUUCAAACAGCACGGACGCAUGAAAGUCUGGUUGAGUUGAUGUUUGGGUGAAAGGAUGGAUAAAUGUUAAAUCAGUGUUUUUCAUCUCAUGGCACCCCCUAAAUUUCUGUGGCACACUUAAAUUAUGUUCAUUAAAAAAAAGA
Long non-coding RNA from Nycticebus coucang (slow loris), 522 nucleotides. RefSeq lists it as uncharacterized. The transcript has 3 exons. NCBI's taxonomy places the organism in Eukaryota, Metazoa, Chordata, Mammalia, Primates, Lorisidae. The record is from RefSeq and is a predicted model, not a curated record.